RNAcentral lists this ribosomal RNA (509 nucleotides) under uncultured microorganism. RNAcentral describes it as "bacterial SSU rRNA". It matches the Rfam family "Bacterial small subunit ribosomal RNA", at positions 9 to 500 of the family's 1533-position model. The record is from RNAcentral.
GAGUUUGAUCAUGGCUCAGGAUGAACGCUGGCGGCGUGCCUAAUACAUGCAAGUCGAGCGAACAGACGAGGAGCUUGCUCCUCUGACGUUAGCGGCGGACGGGUGAGUAACACGUGGAUAACCUACCUAUAAGACUGGGAUAACUUCGGGAAACCGGAGCUAAUACCGGAUAAUAUAUUGAACCGCAUGGUUCAAUAGUGAAAGACGGUUUUGUCUGUCACUUAUAGAUGGAUCCGCGCCGCAUUAGCUAGUUGGUAAAGUAACGGCUUACCAAGGCAACGAUGCGUAGCCGACCUGAGAGGGUGAUCGGCCACACUGGAACUGAGACACGGUCCAGACUCCUACGGGAGGCAGCAGUAGGGAAUCUUCCGCAAUGGGCGAAAGCCUGACGGAGCAACGCCGCGUGAUGAUGAAGGUCUUCGGAUCGUAAAACUCUGUUAUUAGGGAAGAACAAAUGUGUAAGUAACUAUGCACGUCUUGACGGUACCUAAUCAGAAAGCCACGGCUAA